This 503-nucleotide ribosomal RNA is filed under the name uncultured Polyangiaceae bacterium. RNAcentral describes it as "bacterial SSU rRNA". It matches the Rfam family "Bacterial small subunit ribosomal RNA", at positions 1 to 484 of the family's 1533-position model. Lineage: Bacteria; Pseudomonadati; Myxococcota; Polyangiales; Polyangiaceae. The record is from RNAcentral.
UCUACGUAGCAGAGUUUGAUCCUGGCUCAGAACGAACGUUAGCGGCGCGCUUAACACAUGCAAGUCGAGCGAGAAAGGGGCAACCCCGGUAAAGCGGCGCACGGGUGAGUAACACGUAGGUAAUCUACCCUCCGGUGGUGGAUAACCUUCCGAAAGGAAGGCUAAUACAGCAUGGGACCACGGCUUCGAAAGGAGCUGAGGUGAAAGUCGGUCUCUUCAUGAAAGCCGACGCCAGGGGAUGAGCCUGCGGCCCAUCAGCUAGUUGGUAGGGUAAUGGCCUACCAAGGCGAAGACGGGUAGCUGGUCUGAGAGGAUGAUCAGCCACACUGGAACUGAGACACGGUCCAGACUCCUACGGGAGGCAGCAGUGGGGAAUCUUGCGCAAUGGGCGAAAGCCUGACGCAGCGACGCCGCGUGAGUGAUGAAGGCCCUCGGGUUGUAAAGCUCUGUGGAGGGGGACGAAUAAGCGGGGAUAAUACCCCCCGUGAUGACGGUACCCCCUU